This 455-nucleotide ribosomal RNA is filed under the name uncultured Anoxybacillus sp. RNAcentral describes it as "bacterial SSU rRNA". It matches the Rfam family "Bacterial small subunit ribosomal RNA", at positions 927 to 1382 of the family's 1533-position model. Lineage: Bacteria; Bacillati; Bacillota; Bacilli; Caryophanales; Anoxybacillaceae. The record is from RNAcentral.
AAGCGGUGGAGCAUGUGGUUUAAUUCGAAGCAACGCGAAGAACCUUACCAGGUCUUGACAUCCCUGACAACCCGAGAGAUCGGGCGUUCCCCUUCGGGGGACAGGGUGACAGGUGGUGCAUGGUUGUCGUCAGCUCGUGUCGUGAGGUGUUGGGUUAAGUCCCGCAACGAGCGCAACCCUCGACCUUAGUUGCCAGCAUUCAGUUGGGCACUCUAAGGUGACUGCCGGCUAAAAGUCGGAGGAAGGUGGGAUGACGUCAAAUCAUCAUGCCCCUUAUGACCUGGGCUACACACGUGCUACAAUGGCCGGUACAGACGGACGCAAAGCCGCGAGGUGGAGCAAAUCCUAAAAAAGCCGGUCUCAGUUCGGAUUGCAGGCUGCAAUUCGCCUGCAUGAAGUCGGAAUCGCUAGUAAUCGCAGGUCAGCAUACUGCGGUGAAUACGUUCCCGGGCCUU